UCUUUAUACAUGAUUGUUAGCUGCUGU
RNAcentral lists this non-coding RNA (27 nucleotides) under Homo sapiens (human). Lineage: Eukaryota; Metazoa; Chordata; Mammalia; Primates; Hominidae. The record is from RNAcentral.